This 75-nucleotide small RNA is filed under the name Xanthomonas vasicola. RNAcentral's name for it is "sX9 sRNA". It matches the Rfam family "Xanthomonas sRNA sX9". Lineage: Bacteria; Pseudomonadati; Pseudomonadota; Gammaproteobacteria; Lysobacterales; Lysobacteraceae. The record is from RNAcentral.
AUGUACCACUCGUACACUCCGGUUCCUGUGCGCCGUCCGCACCACCUGACGACUGCUCGCUACGUUUUGUUAGCC